AACGAACGCUGGCGGCGCGUCUUAAGCAUGCAAGUCGAACGGUAAGGGAGAGCUUGCUCUCCCCUAGAGUGGCGGACUGGUGAGUAACGCGUGGGUGACCUGCCCUGAAGAUGGGGAUAGCUAGUAGAAAUAUUAGAUAAUACCGAAUGUGCUCAUUUACAUAAAGGUAAAUGAGGAAAGGAGCUACGGCUCCGCUUCAGGAUGGGCCCGCGUCCCAUUAGCUGGUUGGUGAGGUAAAGGCCCACCAAGGCAACGAUGGGUAUCCGGCCUGAGAGGGUGAACGGACACAUUGGGACUGAGAUACGGCCCAAACUCCUACGGGAGGCAGCAGCUAAGAAUCUUCCGCAAUGGACGAAAGUCUGACGGAGCGACGCCGUGUGAAUGAAGAAGGCCGAAAGGUUGUAAAAUUCUUUUGCAGAUGAAGAAUAAGAAGAAGAGGGAAUGCUUCUUUGAUGACGGUAGUCAUGCGAAUAGGCCCCGGCUAAUUACGUGCCAGCAGCCGCGGUAACACGUAAGGGGCGAGCGUUGUUCGGAAUUAUUGGGCGUAAAGGGUAUGUAGGCGGUUAGGUAAGCCUGGUGUGAAAUCUACGAGCUCAACUCGUAAACUGCAUUGGGUACUGCUUGACUUGAAUCACGGAGGGGAAACCGGAAUUCCAAGUGUAGGGGUGGAAUCUGUAGAUAUUUGGAAGAACACCGGUGGCGAAGGCGGGUUUCUGGCCGAUGAUUGACGCUGAUAUACGAAGGUGCGGGGAGCAAACAGG
This 761-nucleotide ribosomal RNA is filed under the name uncultured Treponema sp. RNAcentral's name for it is "bacterial SSU rRNA". It matches the Rfam family "Bacterial small subunit ribosomal RNA", at positions 28 to 776 of the family's 1533-position model. The record is from RNAcentral. Lineage: Bacteria; Pseudomonadati; Spirochaetota; Spirochaetia; Treponematales; Treponemataceae.